Molecule: long non-coding RNA, 468 nt
Filed under: Salvator merianae (Argentine black and white tegu)
Lineage: Eukaryota; Metazoa; Chordata; Lepidosauria; Squamata; Teiidae
Description: lncRNA (ENSSMRG00000014852.1)
Source: RNAcentral
CACCCUUUUCUGCAAUGCAAGUUCUGAUUGCUGAAGUGUUUUCGAAAACGCUGGACGAAAAAGGGCCUCGGAAGAAAGAGUCUAGACGAAGUCGACGCGGUUUCCUAGCGGCUUAAAGGGAGUGGCUGUAUUGUCUCAGGGAAAAAGAGUGGAAGCGUGGUGUUCUAAGAAAUGGACAAUAACGAUCUGAAGACGUAUGAAUAUGAAAUCUGCUCUUUAGAGAAUGAAAUUAAGAAGUUAACAGAAGAGUAUGAACGCAGGCAACAUGAGGCAAUGGCUUAUUCUGAUGGGGAGAUAAUGAAGACAGUGAAAUCAUUGAAAAGAAAAUCCCCAGAAGAACCAAAGCAAUGUGACUCUUUUCCAGCCUUGAAACAUCAGCUUGAUUUAUUGGAGUCUGAUCUCUCAUUCAUAAUGAAAUUUACAGGCAUUUGUCUUACACAUUAUACUAGAAAACUUGUGGAGCAAAGU